GACGAACGCUGGCGGCGCGCCUAACACAUGCAAGUCGAACGGAGUUACAUUGAAAGCUUGCUGGAUAUGUAACUUAGUGGCGGACGGGUGAGUAACACGUGAGUAAUCUGCCUUCCAGAGGGGAAUAACGUUUGGAAACGAACGCUAAUACCGCAUAACGUGCGGUCCUCGCAUGGGGACUGUACCAAAGAUUUUAUCGCUUGAAGAUGGACUCGCGUCCGAUUAGCCAGUUGGCGGGGUAACGGCCCACCAAAGCGACGAUCGGUAGCCGGACUGAGAGGUUGAACGGCCACAUUGGGACUGAGACACGGCCCAG
This 316-nucleotide ribosomal RNA is filed under the name uncultured bacterium. Its description in RNAcentral is "bacterial SSU rRNA". It matches the Rfam family "Bacterial small subunit ribosomal RNA", at positions 28 to 334 of the family's 1533-position model. The record is from RNAcentral.